Molecule: long non-coding RNA, 1041 nt
Organism: Lynx canadensis (Canada lynx)
Lineage: Eukaryota; Metazoa; Chordata; Mammalia; Carnivora; Felidae
Exons: 3
Source: RefSeq, a predicted model, not a curated record
GUGAAUGUCAGUGUAUAUAUUUUUCAUACAGCGAAUGCCACUAAAAUGGCUGCUGCCUCCCUGUUUCCUUAGAAACCCAUUAGUCUUCCUCGGCGGUGGUCGAAACUUGCUGGCGGUUUCUUGCUCACCUUUCCCGUUUCCCCUUUCAAAAGGGAUGAAGAGGAAGGUUAUCAUGGCUUAGGGCCGGAGCACCCACGGUAGUCACCAAGUGUGGAGUCCAGGGGACAGUUUGUCCUGAAGGAGGAGGUUCAAGGAGACUGGAGAAUGAAACAGCAGGUGCAUUCUGGGAUGCUUUUAUCCUAAUAAAACUCCUCCAAAGACUUUGCUGUUUUCCCUCUGCUCAAUAGCCAGGAUCUGGUUUCAGACCUGCCACCCCAUUCUCUCAGCAACACCUCCCUGCUUGGUGCUUGUCCCCAGCUGACCUGCAUCCAUUUCUAUCAUGUUUUAGCUGAAACGCCAAACUGCAGGGCUUUGUCUCCUGAGCAACUGCCGAUGGGGCUAAAGGAUGAAAUACGGAAAUGCAGAGGAUUUAAUUCCCCUGAGUGAAUUGUGACCAGUGGGAGACAAGAGAUUGGAGGAUACUGGGCAGAUAAACGUCCUCUCCCUUUUUCCCUCUGAUGAACUGUUCCAAUAUAUGAUUUCUCCAUACAGCCUGUCAGAAGUCGACCUCUGUGACCAAGCCUAUGUGCUUACUGACUGCUGUAGUUUGGAUUGUGUUCCCCAAAAGAUAUGUUGAAGUCUUGAACCCAGUACCUUAUUGGAGAGAGGGUCUUUGCAGAUGUAAUUGAGUUAAGAUGAGGUCAUCAGGGCAGGUCCUAACCCAAUAUGAUUGAUGUCUUUAUAAGAAGAAAAGACAGAGACACAGAGGGAGAAGACGGCCAUGUGAUGACAGAGACCAAGGUUGGAAUGAUGCAUCUACCAGCCAAGGAACACCAAGGAUUGUCAACAAACACCAGAAGCUAGAAGAAACGAGGAAGGAUCCCCUACAGGUUUCAGGGCAUAUGAAACCUACCAACAUCUUGAUUUUGAAUUUCUAGCCUC